GACGAACGCUGGCGGCGCGCCUAAUACAUGCAAGUCGAGCGAGAACCAGGACUUCGGUCCUGGGGAGAGCGGCGAACGGGUGCGUAUCACGUGAGCAACCUGCCUCGGAGACCGGAAUAACUCGAGGAAACUCGGGCUAAUGCCGGAUGCCCUCGGUGGACCGCAUGGUCCGGCGAGGAAAUGGAUUCCGCUCCGAGAUGGGCUCGCGGCCUAUCAGCUUGUUGGGGGGUAACGGCCUACCAAGGCAACGACGGGUAGCUGGUCUGAGAGGACGAUCAGCCACACUGGGACUGAGACACGGCCCAGACUCCUACGGGAGGCAGCAGUAGGGAAUCUUGCGCAAUGGGGGAAACCCUGACGCAGCGACGCCGCGUGCGGGAUGAAGGCCU
This 389-nucleotide ribosomal RNA is filed under the name uncultured bacterium. Its description in RNAcentral is "bacterial SSU rRNA". It matches the Rfam family "Bacterial small subunit ribosomal RNA", at positions 28 to 417 of the family's 1533-position model. The record is from RNAcentral.